Molecule: long non-coding RNA, 1308 nt
Organism: Triticum dicoccoides
Lineage: Eukaryota; Viridiplantae; Streptophyta; Magnoliopsida; Poales; Poaceae
Exons: 4
Source: RefSeq, a predicted model, not a curated record
CUAGUGUCCAGUCAAUGGAAAAUGCUUUUCUUGCUUUGCCUAGACUUUGUGACAAUUAACUUAUAGUGCGAUCAUUGAUCAUUGAGCUUCUGACACCCUAUUCCAUAAGAUUAUGUUGUAAUGUUUGCUGGAUCAUUGAGUAGUUAAUAUUGAUUCUGAGUUUGUUGGAUCAUUAACUUAUGUGUGUGCUUUGGUUAUCUGAGAGACACUCACUAUCCUGUGUUUCAUAUUCGUGGCGGAGCGAUGAACGAUUAUGUUUCGUGUCCCUGUGUUUCGUGUUCGCCCGUCUGGUUUUGGAUUUGGAUUGCAGAGACGGGGAGAGGCCAAAGCAAGGUCAGUUUAUCAUGUUCGCUCAGAUCGGUUCCUCGGUUCCGUCGCUGCGUUGUUCGUCGGCGAUUUCCAGACCUCAAACGCAUGCGCCCUUGUGAUACUCUGGUUUGGCUCGCUGGUCGUUAUGGUUGUUUGUUACGGUUGUUCUUAUGUUCUUGAAUCACCCAUCUUAUAAGCAGAGAUGGGGUGAUACAUUAUGGUUGUUCUGAUGGUUGCUUAUUUAGUGUUCUUUCCAAUUGGGUGGUUCUUGUCAUGCUUUGCUUAUGUUCCCAAUGUCUGUCUUUCCAUAUAUGGGGAUGCAUUAGGGUGCAAACCGUGUAGGCCAUGGUGUGUUUUUACUAGCUAUGGUGUGUUUUAUACUAUCUAAUGUGGAAGGUGGAAAUAUUGAUAUCACUUCUGUGUUAGUAUACUUGAUAUGGUGUGUUUUAUUCAAGUAAUUAACCACAUCUCUUACAAAUUUUCCUUGAGAUACAUGUUUAUAUGGCAGGAGUGAUUGUCUUGACGAAUAAUCAUUUAUGCUAACAGACCAGUACUUGAUCAUAGGUAACAGACCAGUACUUGUUAGUGCAGACAACUGACUAUUCUUUUUUUCUGAACUUUUUUUUGAUAUGUCUGUUAUGUGGAUAUCAUAUUCUAAUGCUUUUCUAAGUAUUUAAGGUACAGACAUGUGGAUCUGGACAUUUCACAUUUGCUCUUUAUUGUAUUGCUAAGGACACUGAACGGUUUGUCUGGGCCACCGCACAGCCUGGCUAAUCAGGUUGUAGUGAUUAGGGAGAAGCUUGCAGAACUGUAUGAAUUUGAACAACAAUGGCCGAGGGCAGUACAAAUGCUUAGUGGUAUUGACUUGGACUCAGGAAUAAGGAUGCUUGAUGACAAACAAAUUAUCCAAGUGCGUCCAGAUUGCAUGACUCUAUUUGGAGGAUGAUGAUGCAGUGAAUGUUGAAGCUUUUAUCAACAAAGCCUCAUUUUUUGUCACAA